Long non-coding RNA from Tachysurus fulvidraco (yellow catfish), 618 nucleotides. RefSeq lists it as uncharacterized. Lineage: Eukaryota; Metazoa; Chordata; Actinopteri; Siluriformes; Bagridae. The record is from RefSeq and is a predicted model, not a curated record. The transcript has 2 exons.
UUUGUGGAAUAUAUGUUUUGGAAUAUAUUACCCCAGUGAAGAAAGGGAUGCGUCUAAAGGUUGAAGUGAGAGAACUAAACUCCCAGGAUUUAACAUCAAGCUGACAAAAGGAGGAAUAAAGAUUCUCUUCCAGUUCAUCCCCACUGUCAACUUGAUGGAAUUCUUCCCAUUGGUGGGAUUUUGGAAUUUGCAAAUUUGCAAACAGUCGAACAACAAAACUGUUUUUAGAGACUGAUGAACCUUUUUUGUUUGUUCAUUUCCAAUUGUAUGUUUUCAUGUGUAUUAUUUUUUGGAAAGGUGGAUAUUGUAUCCUAUUACUGAAGUUGUGAAUUUUGGGUUAGUGAACCGAAUGUAUUUUUAAUUUGAACCAUCGUAAUACUGUGACAUCAUAAUACUGGAACAAUUGGUCUCAGGUUCGGCAAGGAGCAAUAACUGUAAACCCUAAUAAUUUAAAAUUAAAAAAAUAAAUAGGAAUAUGUGUAUAUAUAAUACAUCCAUCCAUAGGGUGUAUCAUUUAUCUACCAUAAACUGUCAUGCUCAAAAGUGAAAUAAAUUGUUAAACAUUGACAUUUAUUUGGAAAAUAAAUAAAAAAAGAUUUAUUUUUAUCUUUUAUUCAA